AACGAACGCUGGCGGCAUGCCUAACACAUGCAAGUCGAACGAUUGCCUUCGGGUGAUAGUGGCGCACGGGUGCGUAACGCGUGGGAAUCUGCCCUUAGGUUCGGAAUAACAGCUGGAAACGGCUGCUAAUACCGGAUGAUAUCGCGAGAUCAAAGAUUUAUCGCCUGAGGAUGAGCCCGCGUUGGAUUAGGUAGUUGGUGGGGUAAAGGCCUACCAAGCCGACGAUCCAUAGCUGGUCUGAGAGGAUGAUCAGCCACACUGGGACUGAGACACGGCCCAGAAUCCUACGGGAGGCAGCAGUGGGGAAUAUUGGACAAUGGGCGCAAGCCUGAUCCAGCAAUGCCGCGUGAGUGAUGAAGGCCCUAGGGUUGUAAAGCUCGUUUACCCGGGAAGAUAAUGACUGUACCGGGAGAAUAAGCCCCGGCUAACUCCGUG
RNAcentral lists this ribosomal RNA (435 nucleotides) under uncultured bacterium. RNAcentral's name for it is "partial 16S ribosomal RNA". It matches the Rfam family "Bacterial small subunit ribosomal RNA", at positions 29 to 507 of the family's 1533-position model. The record is from RNAcentral.